AUGAACGCUAGCGGCAGGCCUAACACAUGCAAGUCGAACGGUAACAGGGAAAAGCUUGCUUUUCCGCUGACGAGUGGCGCACGGGUGCGUAACGCGUAUACAAUCUGCCUUUUACAGGGGGAUAGCCUUUAGAAAUGAAGAUUAAUACCCCAUAGAAUAUAUAGAUGGCAUCAUUUAAAUAUUAAAGUUUCGGCGGUAAAAGAUGAGUAUGCGUUCUAUUAGCUAGUAGGUGUGGUAACGGCACACCUAGGCAACGAUAGAUAGGGGCCCUGAGAGGGGGAUCCCCCACACUGGUACUGAGACACGGACCAGACUCCUACGGGAGGCAGCAGUGAGGAAUAUUGGACAAUGGGCGGAAGCCUGAUCCAGCCAUGCCGCGUGCAGGAAGACUGCCCUAUGGGUUGUAAACUGCUUUUAUACGGGAAGAAACCCACCUACGUGUAGGUGGCUGACGGUACCGUAAGAAUAAGCACCGGCUAACUCCGUGCCAGCAGCCGCGGUAAUACGGAGGGUGCAAGCGUUAUCCGGAAUCAUUGGGUUUAAAGGGUCCGUAGGUGGAUUAAUAAGUCAGAGGUGAAAGCCUGCAGCUUAACUGUAGAAUUGCCUUUGAAACUGUUAAUCUUGAAUUAUUGUGAAGUAGUUAGAAUAUGUAGUGUAGCGGUGAAAUGCAUAGAUAUUACAUAGAAUACCGAUUGCGAAGGCAGAUUACUAACAAUAUAUUGACACUGAUGGACGAAAGCGUGGGGAGCGAACAGGAUUAGAUACCCUGGUAGUCCACGCCGUAAACGAUGGUCACUAGCGUUCGAACUUCGGUCUGAGUGGCUAAGCGAAAGUGAUAAGUGACCCACCUGGGGAGUACGUUCGCAAGAAUGAAACUCAAAGGAAUUGACGGGGGCCCACACAAGCGGUGGAGCAUGAGGUUUAAUUCGAUGAUACGCGAGGAACCUUACCAGGGCUUAAAUGGGAGAUGACAGGAGCAGAGACGCUCUUUUCUUCGGACAUCUUUCAAGGUGCUGCAUGGUUGUCGUCAGCUCGUGCCGUGAGGUGUCAGGUUGAGUCCUAUAACGAGCGCAACCCCUACCGUUAGUUGCCAGCAUGUAAAGAUGGGGACUCUAACGGGACUGCCGGUGCAAACCGUGAGGAAGGUGGGGAUGACGUCAAAUCAUCACGGCCCUUAUGCCCAGGGCCACACACGUGCUACAAUGGCCGGUACAGAGGGAAGCUACCCUGCAAAGGGAUGCGGAUCUAUAAAGCCGGUCACAGUUCGGAUCGGGGUCUGCAACUCGACCCCGUGAAGCUGGAAUCGCUAGUAAUCGGAUAUCAGCCAUGAUCCGGUGAAUACGUUCCCGGGCCUUGUACACACCGCCCGUCAAGCCAUGGAAGCCGGGGGUGCCUGAAGUCUGUAACCGCAAGGAGCGGCCUAGGGCAAGACUGGUAACUAGGGCUA
RNAcentral lists this ribosomal RNA (1447 nucleotides) under uncultured prokaryote. RNAcentral describes it as "partial 16S ribosomal RNA". It matches the Rfam family "Bacterial small subunit ribosomal RNA". The record is from RNAcentral.